UGCCUUCUCUUCGGAGUUGGCCAUCCUCACACACCGUGAACUGUGGCUUCGGCCAUCACAAACUGUUAGUAAUGAAUGUAAUAUCAUAACAAAAACAAAACUUUUAACAACGGAUCUCUUGGCUCUCGCAUCGAUGAAGAACGCAGCGAAAUGCGAUAAGUAAUGUGAAUUGCAGAAUUCAGUGAAUCAUCGAAUCUUUGAACGCACCUUGCGCCCUUUGGUAUUCCGAAGGGCAUGCCUGUUUGAGUGUCAUGAAACCUCACCCCACUUGGGUUUUUGCCUGAGCGGUGGUGUAUUGGGUGUUGCCUUGCCAAAGGCUCGCCUUAAAAGUAUAAGCACCUUGGAUGUAAUACGUUUCAUCCUUCUGGGUGGCUGAUAACCCCACAUAUUCAUGAUCUGGCCUCAAAUCAGGUAGGGCUACCCGCUGAACUUAAGCAUAUCAAA
This 444-nucleotide ribosomal RNA is filed under the name uncultured Cryptococcus. RNAcentral describes it as "eukaryotic LSU rRNA". The stretch from base 99 to 252 matches the Rfam family "5.8S ribosomal RNA". The record is from RNAcentral. Lineage: Eukaryota; Fungi; Basidiomycota; Tremellomycetes.